ACGGGGUGCAGCAGGCGCGAAAACUUCACACUGCAGGAAACUGUGAUGAGGGAACUCCUAGUGCAUGCACUAUGUGUAUGUAGAUCCUACUCUUAACAAGUAGAGGGAAAGGGCUGGGAAAGACCGGUGCCAGCCGCCGCGGUAAUACCGGCAGCUCAAGUGGUCGUCGCUUUUAUUGGGCCUAAAACGUCCGUAGCCUGUUUGGUAAAUCUGUGGGUAAAUCAAUCCGCUCAACGGAUUGAAUUCUGCAGAGACUGCCAGACUAGGGACCGGGAGAGGUGUGGGGUACUCGAGGGGUAGGGGUAAAAUCCUGUCAUCCUUCGAGGACCACCAGUUGCGAAGGCGCCACACUGGAACGGAUCCGACGGUCAGGGACGAAGCCUAGGGGCACGAACCGGAUUAGAUACCCGGGUAGUCCUAGGUGUAAACGCUGUGAACUUGGUGUCGGGGGUCCGCAAGGGGUCCCCGGUGCCGGAGUGAAGAUGUUAAGUUCACUGCCUGGGGAGUACGGUCGCAAGGCUGAAACUUAA
This 530-nucleotide ribosomal RNA is filed under the name uncultured archaeon. RNAcentral describes it as "bacterial SSU rRNA". It matches the Rfam family "Archaeal small subunit ribosomal RNA", at positions 325 to 859 of the family's 1478-position model. The record is from RNAcentral.